GGCCAGGUGGUGAAGUGGUAACACGGCGCUCUGCAAAAGCGCUAUGCGCGGGUUCAAUUCCCGCCCUGGCCU
Molecule: transfer RNA, 72 nt
Filed under: Candidatus Kaiserbacteria bacterium RIFOXYD1_FULL_47_14
Lineage: Bacteria; Candidatus Kaiseribacteriota
Also listed under: 1 other name
Description: tRNA-Cys
Rfam family: tRNA
About the family: Transfer RNA (tRNA) molecules are approximately 80 nucleotides in length.
Source: RNAcentral